AAUGACAUGCCAAAAACAUUUUCAGCCGUGCACAAAUUCUGGAAAAAUCAUCAUAAAAAAGAAGACAUCAUGAAGAACAUUGCACAAAAAAUCUCAUGUGAUUUGGAUCAUUAUUUUUAGAGUUAUGAUUUUUUAAUAAGGAGAAAAUAAAAAAACAUGUGAAUGAAGCAUAUGAACAUGGAUACAUGAAAUGAAGAAAAAGGCAAAGCAACAUUUGAAAAGUGACCGAGCCCAGGAUCGAAC
RNAcentral lists this long non-coding RNA (243 nucleotides) under Lathyrus oleraceus (garden pea). Its description in RNAcentral is "Pisum sativum (pea) long non-coding RNA (PSAT_LNC030564)". Lineage: Eukaryota; Viridiplantae; Streptophyta; Magnoliopsida; Fabales; Fabaceae. The record is from RNAcentral.